This 253-nucleotide ribosomal RNA is filed under the name uncultured bacterium. Its description in RNAcentral is "partial 16S ribosomal RNA". It matches the Rfam family "Bacterial small subunit ribosomal RNA", at positions 524 to 776 of the family's 1533-position model. The record is from RNAcentral.
UACGUAGGGGGCAAGUGUUGUCCGGAAUUAUUGGGCGUAAAGAGCUCGUAGGCGGUCUGUCGCGUCGGAUGUGAAAACCCAGGGCUCAACCCUGGGCCUGCAUUCGAUACGGGCAGACUAGAGUUCGGUAGGGGAGACUGGAAUUCCUGGUGUAGCGGUGAAAUGCGCAGAUAUCAGGAGGAACACCGGUGGCGAAGGCGGGUCUCUGGGCCGAAACUGACGCUGAGGAGCGAAAGCGUGGGGAGCAAACAGG